GCAGAGAACAGGAAUCUAUAAACUCAUACCACAAGAGAAAGGAAAAUUUGUUUUUCUCCUCCCUACGUUGAGGGAGUGCUAGGAUAGACUUCAGGCCACAUUAGAUAGUAUUAUCAAGACUUUCCCUGGGUCUGGGCUGUACGUGUUGCUGCUUCUGGGACAAGUCAGCCUAACACAGGAAAACUUAUUUCUUUUUUUUAAAUUUUCUUUUUCUUUCUUUCUUUAAUUUCCCACCUCAGCACAUGUCUGGUGAUAGGCACAGGAAGAUGCCUAACUUCCUUUCCCUAAUUAGGACGUCACAAUUAGCGGCAACCCGCUUUACAAGUGAAAUAUCCCUGCGUUAUUGAAGCGAACUGGAGUCCCCCACCCAGCACAGCAAAGCCAAACACUGACAUGGGGCUAGCAGCGAGAGAAAAUGAGGAAAUUUUUGAAGGGCACCAAGCAAGGACAUUCAGGCAGCUCAUGCUUCAGGCCUGCACUCCCUGAUGGCUUACAGGGUCUUGCUCUGUCACCCAAACUGGAGUGCAGUGGUGUGAUUAUGGCUCACUGCAGCCUUGACCUCCCAGGCUCGAGCAAUCCUCCCAACUCAGCUUCCUGAGUAGCUGGGACUACAGGUGUGCACCACCAUGCCCAGGUUUCCUUUGUGGCUGAGCACAUGAUUAAUUUUGAAUAUGCCGUCAGCAAACAAAAAG
This is an RNA transcript of Gorilla gorilla gorilla (western lowland gorilla), 692 nucleotides long. RefSeq lists it as uncharacterized. The transcript is spliced from 4 exons. NCBI's taxonomy places the organism in Eukaryota, Metazoa, Chordata, Mammalia, Primates, Hominidae. The record is from RefSeq and is a predicted model, not a curated record.